This 694-nucleotide ribosomal RNA is filed under the name uncultured Bacteroidales bacterium. RNAcentral's name for it is "bacterial SSU rRNA". It matches the Rfam family "Bacterial small subunit ribosomal RNA", at positions 69 to 757 of the family's 1533-position model. The record is from RNAcentral. Lineage: Bacteria; Pseudomonadati; Bacteroidota; Bacteroidia; Bacteroidales.
AUGGUCUUAGCUUGCUAAGGCCGAUGGCGACCGGCGCACGGGUGAGUAACACGUAUCCAACCUGCCGUCUACUCUUGGACAGCCUUCUGAAAGGAAGAUUAAUACAAGAUGGCAUCAUGAGUCCGCAUGUUCACAUGAUUAAAGGUAUUCCGGUAGACGAUGGGGAUGCGUUCCAUUAGAUAGUAGGCGGGGUAACGGCCCACCUAGUCUUCGAUGGAUAGGGGUUCUGAGAGGAAGGUCCCCCACAUUGGAACUGAGACACGGUCCAAACUCCUACGGGAGGCAGCAGUGAGGAAUAUUGGUCAAUGGGCGAGAGCCUGAACCAGCCAAGUAGCGUGGAGGAUGACUGCCCUAUGGGUUGUAAACUUCUUUUAUAAAGGAAUAAAGUCGGGUAUGUAUACCCGUUUGCAUGUACUUUAUGAAUAAGGAUCGGCUAACUCCGUGCCAGCAGCCGCGGUAAUACGGAGGAUCCGAGCGUUAUCCGGAUUUAUUGGGUUUAAAGGGAGCGUAGAUGGAUGUUUAAGUCAGUUGUGAAAGUUUGCGGCUCAACCGUAAAAUUGCAGUUGAUACUGGAUAUCUUGAGUGCAGUUGAGGCAGGCGGAAUUCGUGGUGUAGCGGUGAAAUGCUUAGAUAUCACGAAGAACUCCGAUUGCGAAGGCAGCCUGCUAAGCUGCAACUGACAUUGAGGCUCGAA